GAAACUUAACAUAUAAUAAAAAAAGAAAAAAAAUUGUAGGUUAGAGUACAUUUAAAGGGAAAAAAGAGGCAUGCAUAAAUCUUUACUUCUGCUUGUAAAACCAUUGUUAAAUGUUGUUUACGAUGAUAAGAAGUUAAAAUUGGUAGUAGUAUGGUCCUAUUUUUUGCUUGCUGAGAAAAUGGGAUACACCAAUAAUUAGAGUAAAAUAUACAGUACGGGAGCCACUUUAUUAUGUUUCUUGUACAACUGCCGAAUUACUCUACCUUUAUAUGUAUUAUGUCAUUGUUCUAUGAGCUAGAAAAGAAUGUAUAGGCACAUGUUUGUUUGGAUGUUCUUUUAUAUGAAGCAUCAGAUAGAAUUUUCUCCGUUGGCACACAAUCAUACAUUUAAGAUAAUUAGGAAAAUGGACAGAGGAAUAGAAUUCUGCCUUCUAAUGUGAGCAAUUUCAGACAAAAAAUGUCCUGUCUGUUGUUUGUGUUUUUUUAAAUUAGAGAUAGAGUCAUGUGUUAAUGUGGAUUAUCUGAAAUAAAGUCAGUUCACUAUAAAAUGUUCAGGUUGAGACUAUAUAUUCUUAGAAUAUAGUCACAUAUGCCAAAAAAUUAAUGAAAGCUGCAGCAUAAUUUUUCUACCUUGUGGAACUAUCAGAUAAAGUAAUGUCUGAUGAUAAAUUGGUUUUAUGGUGAGUCACUAGAUUCAAUCUAUGGUAGUAAAUCUUCUAAACUAACUUCACAUUGCCUGCAAGCCAGAGUCAAUGUAGUGUUCACCAAAUGUCCCUUCAAUCAAAUGAAAUUUGACAUACUAGUAUCCCCCUAUGAAUUUAUCUCUUAUAUGAGGUCACAAAGAGCUUGCAAUAAUACUGAAAAAAGAAAUAUUCUGAAUAAAGUAAUUGAAAUUCCCUUUCAAAUAUACUUCAUUACUUCAGUAGAUAUCUAUUUAUACCUUACAGUUACAUUACUUGAUGCCUCACAGAAUUUCUUUCCUUUGUGUGGAACACAGAUAUUCUUAUAUCAAAUAAGAUUUAUUACUAAAAGCCUUUCCUAUGAGGUCUGCUUCCCUUUCCCUGAGGAAUUGUCCUCAGUAUUAGAGUCCAUUAGCUGCUAACUACAAUGCAAUUUCAUAAAGCACCUGGCUUCAGAAGAUGUUAAUUUAAAAAAAAUGCUAAGAAUUUAGGACUACACAGAGCUAUUUACCUCAAAUACACAAAAAAUGUUUUUGCAAUCUCUUAUGAGAUAUCCUAGAAUUCAUUUUUUUUUAAAUUUCAAUAUGCUUGUUGGUAUCUCCUAUAAGUUGCUUUACUCUAUUUAUAUUAAUAGGCCACACUAAGUGGUGAUUGUGGCAUUCUUUAAACCAGAUGCCCAACAUUCAUAUUCUUGCCAAGUUAGAUUAUAUAAAUUGAAGUCAAGGGUCAAUAAUUAUCCAGUGACUAUUUAACUCAACAUGCUUAUAUUUCUGUUGUAGCUGCCAGAAUACUCAGAAGCCAAAUAAAAACCAAUAAAUGCCAUCAGUUCAUGUUAGGUACCUGUAUCACCUACUCUGUCCCCUUACUUUGAUUACCUCUGUUUUGUUUUAUUCUGAAGUAUUUUAUUCUAUGAGUUUUAAUGUAUAUGUAAUUUAGUUGCUUUCAAAAUAGAAAAUGUCUGAAUUAUAAGUAAUAAAAGGUAUCUAAUGACUCACAGAGAAGAAUGUGCCUCCAUAGUGACAAGUAGAUAAAAAAUAUUUACAUAAGUAAAUACUAAAAAUACACAGGCAAAAUUAUUCAACUCUUCCAAUUCCAUAUUAAUGGGGUAAUUAAUUUUUGUUAACUUUCUUUACUGACAUUGUAGAACACAUGAUGUUAUUCUAUUUUAGCUCCAGCAAUCAAGGAUCUACAGAAUAAAUAUGAAUAUUCUAUGUUCAUUCUAUAGAUCCUUGAUUGCUGGAGCUAGUCAAGGGGAUCUAUAGAAUGAAUAUUCCACUAAAGACAAGAUUCACGCCUACUAUGGCAAUUAUAUGAAAUAUAAAGAAAGAUUAAUGACAAGUUUGUUCAGGAAGGUAAUGAAAGUGAAAUGUUAUUUGGAAACUUAUGAUCCCAUGAGAUAUAACAAAGACAAAAAAAAAAAAGAUCUAAAGGAAAUUUCCAAUUUAAAUACAGUAAAGUGUAAUAAAAUUGUAUCAUGAUUUUGGAGGCGUAAUGUUCAGAUAAUCUUUUAACUAUCUUUUUCUAAUUUUUAAAUUUUUUUUCAUAUAUUACAUGUCAACAACUAGAAAGCCACUUUUCUCACAGAAAAAUAGACUAGGAGAAACUGUACAUGUAUACAGAAGAACAAGACAAAAAACAGAAAAUACAAAUGUUAUUAAGCAAAGGGCACCUGCUACUGGCCUGAAAGAGCAGGAUGAAGAGGUCAGUUGAGAAGUUCAGGAAAAAGCAAAGGUAUUGAGGAUUUCAACCAUUAUGGAUCAAUAAGGUGCUUUGACAAGAAGGAAUUUCUUGCAGACAAAAAAUAAAAAACAAAAAGGAAAAGUAAGCAUAAAAUUACCAGAAAACAAAAAAUCUUGCAGUUGCAAGAGGAACUAAUUAUAGAAAAGUGGCAUGAGCUAAGACUGUAAAGAUCAAAUUAUAGCCAGAUCACAGAAGUUCUUGUCAAUUUUGAAGAAGUUAGAACUACUUUAAGUUGCAAUUGUUGACUUCAAAGCACUUGAGCAGAAGAACAAUACUGGUGGAGUUCAUUUUUAGACAGGUAUAGAGAGAAGCUAGAAACUGGGAAACUAAUGAGGACUUGUGCGCAAUAGGAGCACUGAAGUAAACGGAGGUCUACACUAUUGCUAUGGCAACAGACAUGAAAAGAAAGAAAUACAUUUGAAAAAUAUAUAGAAGAUCUAUACAUAUAGGAUUUAGUAACCAAAUAGAAAUUGUGUAGAAGAGAAUAAAGUAUAAUUAGAAUUUGGAUUGCAUGACUGGUAGACCAAUGAAACCAUUAUGAUAGAAUGAGUCAGGGACAAGGCUGGCUUGAGAACAGUGGCUGAGCAGAUGGAACACUUAAUUUGGGAAGUACUAACAAGAAAGUAAAACAAAAACAACAUGCCUAUAAAUGAGCAUAGGUACCAGAAGCACAGGCAUAAUGAGGUCAAGACACGAUGAGAAGCCUGAAGAAGUGAAAGCCAGUGAGGUCUACUUUUAAGAAGUUUAGUGCUAAAAAAAAAAACUAACAAAAAAAGAACACAGAAAAGAUAUGUUGAAUAAGUGGUAGGAGUUUGGUUCGCUUGUUGGUUUCUUACUUUCAUCUAGGAGCAGGUAAACCAAUGUGUGUGCAUUCAAAAGUAAAAAGGGCCCAGUGGAGAGAGUAAGAUCAAAGAUUCAUGAAGAUUCUUAACGCAGGAUUCAGUCUCAUUCGAGAGUGGGGACGUAUCCAAAUUCAAGCCCACAUGGUCAGCCUUUAGUAAAAGAAAACCAUUUUUCCUUCUUUAAAAUAGAAAGAGGAGAAAUGAUUUGAUGAUACAGAUAGUCUGAGAUAAAACGAAGGAAACUAGGGAGAGUCACAUUUGACAGCUUGGACUUAAUGAUGUGUUUUUAAAAAUACGUUGAGGGAAAGAAGUGCAGGGAAAAAAAUGGAGUUAUGAAGACAGUGGGAAAGGUCUGAAACUAUAGCUCUAUGGCAUAUUCAAAGGAGUUAGGAAGAGAUGAAUGUAAGAACUAUUGAAGAGUAGUGCUGCUUUGGCUGAACAUUUUAUUAAAACGAUUCUUCUGCUGUGACAACUGCAGAGCUAAAAGAUUGAAAUAGUCCUCUUUUAGUGGGACCCAAUAUACUUCCCAACAAUUCCAAGAAAAUCAAACAGUAUAGAACUACACUCUAGAUUUCAAAAAAUCAUAAAUGUGUCCUUUUCAAACU
Sapajus apella (tufted capuchin) is the source of this 3866-nucleotide long non-coding RNA. RefSeq lists it as uncharacterized. The record is from RefSeq and is a predicted model, not a curated record. NCBI's taxonomy places the organism in Eukaryota, Metazoa, Chordata, Mammalia, Primates, Cebidae. The transcript is spliced from 2 exons.